AAUCUUACCUGGCAGGGGAGAUACCAUGGUAAUGAAGGUGGUUUCCUCAAGGUGAGACUUACCCAUAGCACUCCAGAUGUGCUGACCCCUGAGAUUUUCCCCAAAUGCAGAAAACUCGAUUGCAUAAUUUGUGGUAGUGAAGAAUUGCAUUCGUGCUCUCCUCU
This 164-nucleotide small nuclear RNA is filed under the name Castor canadensis (American beaver). RNAcentral describes it as "U1 spliceosomal RNA (ENSCCNG00000028642.1)". It matches the Rfam family "U1 spliceosomal RNA". From Rfam's summary of the family: U1 is a small nuclear RNA (snRNA) component of the spliceosome (involved in pre-mRNA splicing). Its 5' end forms complementary base pairs with the 5' splice junction, thus defining the 5' donor site of an intron. Lineage: Eukaryota; Metazoa; Chordata; Mammalia; Rodentia; Castoridae. The record is from RNAcentral.